This 378-nucleotide ribosomal RNA is filed under the name uncultured Ralstonia sp. RNAcentral describes it as "bacterial SSU rRNA". It matches the Rfam family "Bacterial small subunit ribosomal RNA", at positions 524 to 902 of the family's 1533-position model. Lineage: Bacteria; Pseudomonadati; Pseudomonadota; Betaproteobacteria; Burkholderiales; Burkholderiaceae. The record is from RNAcentral.
UACGUAGGGUGCAAGCGUUAAUCGGAAUUACUGGGCGUAAAGAGUGCGCAGGCGGUUUUGCAAGACCGAUGUGAAAUCCCCGGGCUUAACCUGGGAACUGCAUUGGUGACUGCAAGGCUAGAGUGUGUCAGAGGGAGGUGGAAUUCCGCAUGUAGCAGUGAAAUGCGUAGAUAUGCGGAGGAACACCGAUGGCGAAGGCAGCCUCCUGGGAUAACACUGACGCUCAUGCACGAAAGCGUGGGGAGCAAACAGGAUUAGAUACCCUGGUAGUCCACGCCCUAAACGAUGUCAACUAGUUGUUGGGGAUUCAUUUCCUUAGUAACGUAGCUAACGCGUGAAGUUGACCGCCUGGGGAGUACGGCCGCAAGGUUAAAACUC